GCAGCAGUAGGGAAUCUUCCGCAAUGGACGCAAGUCUGACGGAGCAACGCCGCGUGAGUGAAGAAGGGUUUCGGCUCGUAAAACUCUGUUGUUAAGGAAGAAUGUCAUGUAUUUAACUGAUAUGUGAGUGACGGUACUUAACCAGAAAGCCACGGCUAACUACGUGCCAGCAGCCGCGGUAAUACGUAGGUGGCAAGCGUUAUCCGGAAUUAUUGGGCGUAAAGCGCGCGUAGGCGGUUCCUUAAGUCUGAUGUGAGAGCCCCCGGCUCAACCGGGGAGGGUCAUUGGAAACUGGGGAACUUGAGUGCAGAAGAGGAGAGUGGAAUUCCAUGUGUAGCGGUGAAAUGCGCAGAGAUAUGGAGGAACACCAGUGGCGAAGGCGGCUCUCUGGUCUGUAACUGACGCUGAUGUGCGGAAGCGUGGGGAUCAAACAGGAUUAGAUACCCUGGUAGUCCACGCCGUAAACGAUGAGUGCUGAGUGUUAGGGGGUUUCCGCCCCUUAGUGCUGCAGCUAACGCAUUAAGCACUCCGCCUGGGGAGUACGACCGCAAGG
Molecule: ribosomal RNA, 553 nt
Filed under: uncultured Salinicoccus sp.
Lineage: Bacteria; Bacillati; Bacillota; Bacilli; Caryophanales; Staphylococcaceae
Description: bacterial SSU rRNA
Rfam family: Bacterial small subunit ribosomal RNA
Source: RNAcentral